AUUGAACGCUGGCGGCAUGCUUUACACAUGCAAGUCGAACGGCAGCACGGGGGCAACCCUGGUGGCGAGUGGCGAACGGGUGAGUAAUAUAUCGGAACGUACCCGGAAAUGGGGGAUAACGUAGCGAAAGUUACGCUAAUACCGCAUAUGCCCUAAGGGGGAAAGCGGGGGAUUCGCAAGAACCUCGCGUUUUUCGGAGCGGCCGAUAUCGGAUUAGCUAGUAGGUGAGGUAAAGGCUCACCUAGGCGACGAUCCGUAGCUGGUCUGAGAGGACGACCAGCCACACUGGAACUGAGACACGGUCCAGACUCCUACGGGAGGCAGCAGUGGGGAAUUUUGGGCAAUGGGCGCAAGCCUGAUCCAGCCAUGCCGCGUGAGUGAAGAAGGCCUUCGGGUUGUAAAG
Molecule: ribosomal RNA, 403 nt
Filed under: uncultured bacterium
Lineage: Bacteria
Description: bacterial SSU rRNA
Rfam family: Bacterial small subunit ribosomal RNA
Source: RNAcentral